This is a long non-coding RNA of Symphalangus syndactylus (siamang), 1115 nucleotides long. RefSeq lists it as uncharacterized. NCBI's taxonomy places the organism in Eukaryota, Metazoa, Chordata, Mammalia, Primates, Hylobatidae. The record is from RefSeq and is a predicted model, not a curated record.
CAGUUCCAAAAUCUCUCUCAAGCCCACCCACUCUUCUCCAACAGUCCCAGCCACUGUCGCCUCACCAGGACUGUGGAACAGCCCGCUCUGUUUUGCAGCCCAACAGACCCGGGUUCCAAUCUUGACUCCAACUCACCAGCUGUGUGAUCUUGGGCAAGGCACUUGCUCCUGCCCCCCAGGUAAGGGAUUAGCAGCCCAGAGCCAGGGACCUGACCCAGCCUGGAGAGGAUCAGGGAGGACUUCCCAGGGGAGGUGAUGCCUGCCUUGGGUCUUAAAGGAUGAGUGGGAGUUAGCCACGCAGAGAAGAAGUGGGAGCAUUCCCAGCAGAAGCAACAGCUUGAGCAAAGGCCCCCCAGGCAAGGAGCCCAACAGCGUGAGGGGAGCCACGAGCGUUCGGUGUUGCCUGGCAGAUGGGAGAUGAGGCUGGAGCCGGCAGCUGGAGCCAGACCUAAAAGGCUGCUCCCUGACUCCUAGGCCUGAAGGCUAGACUUGAAGCACUGGGUGAUGGGACAGAAUCUGUGGUUGAGAAAGGCCCUCUGAGUGCCCAGCGUAGAGGGGACUAGAAAGGACAGGAGAAGAGGCAGUGGGAGGCCCCUGGGGAGCAGAGCAGAGAGGCAGGGGCUGCGCCUGGGCCAGGGAGGAGAGCGGUCAAAGAGGCCUGAAGCUGGAGGCCAAGGAAGCAUGCAAGGUGCCCCCUACAGUGGAGCCCAGGAGGCCCACUGUAUACCAGUGCUGACAAACACAGCCACAGGCACAUGCGGACAGACAGAACCAAACCCAGACACACAUGACAGAUACAGACCUGUGGCCCCAAACGUGGACUGAUGGGGACCCAGCAGCUGCCGUGAGGACGAACCCACAGCCACCAUGACACAGGAGGCCGAUACAGGAGGAGUGCAACCUGGAAUCACAGGCUCCUUACCUAGAGUGUCCUUUCCCACUUGGUGAACUUCUACUCAUCCUUCAAGACCCAGCUCAAGUGUUCCCUCUUCUACGGAGCUUUCCCUGAACCCCCAGCCAGUCACUUCCUCUGUGUUCCCAACAGCACCUUGUAUAUGGGAAUAACAAUAACAAUAAUAACAAUAAUAAUAAGUGCCAGCUACCAUUGAUUUCAA